CUUAAUACAACUUUCAACAACGGAUCUCUUGGCUCUCGCAUCGAUGAAGAACGCAGCGAAAUGCGAUAAGUAAUGUGAAUUGCAGAAUUCAGUGAAUCAUCGAAUCUUUGAACGCACCUUGCGCUCCUUGGUAUUCCGAGGAGCAUGCCUGUUUGA
This 156-nucleotide ribosomal RNA is filed under the name Schizopora paradoxa. RNAcentral's name for it is "5.8S ribosomal RNA". It matches the Rfam family "5.8S ribosomal RNA". Rfam says of the family: 5.8S ribosomal RNA (5.8S rRNA) is a component of the large subunit of the eukaryotic ribosome. It is transcribed by RNA polymerase I as part of the 45S precursor that also contains 18S and 28S rRNA. RNAcentral also lists the same sequence under 4 other names. The record is from RNAcentral. Lineage: Eukaryota; Fungi; Basidiomycota; Agaricomycetes; Hymenochaetales; Schizoporaceae.